AGUGAACGCUGGCGGUAGGCCUAACACAUGCAAGUCGAACGGCAGCACAGUAAGAGCUUGCUCUUACGGGUGGCGAGUGGCGGACGGGUGAGGAAUACAUCGGAAUCUACUUUUUCGUGGGGGAUAACGUAGGGAAACUUACGCUAAUACCGCAUACGACCUACGGGUGAAAGUAGGGGAUCUUCGGACCUUGCGCGAUUGAAUGAGCCGAUGUCGGAUUAGCUAGUUGGCGGGGUAAAGGCCCACCAAGGCGACGAUCCGUAGCUGGUCUGAGAGGAUGGUCAGCCACACUGGAACUUAGACACGGUCCAGACUCCUACGGGAGGCAGCAGUGGGGAAUAUUGGACAGUGGGCGCAAGCCUGAUCCAGCCAUACCGCGUGGGUGAAGAAGGCCUUCGGGUUGUAAAGCCCUUUUGUUGGGAAAGAAAAGCAGCAGGUUAAUACCCCGCUGUUCUGACGGUACCCAGAGAAUAAGCACCGGCUAACUUCGUG
RNAcentral lists this ribosomal RNA (492 nucleotides) under uncultured bacterium. RNAcentral's name for it is "partial 16S ribosomal RNA". It matches the Rfam family "Bacterial small subunit ribosomal RNA", at positions 29 to 507 of the family's 1533-position model. The record is from RNAcentral.